CUUCGCCGGCGACCUCAAAACUCGAUUGAAGAUGGUGUUUUAAUGGUGUUUUGGGGGCAUUUUUGCUGGUUAGAUGUGCUGAGUUUUGGAGUUUUUAGGGGCAUGUUUUUGUGGUUAAGAGCUACGAAUAUGGCCAGCCUUCAUGGCUGUUUUGAAGGGAGGAAAACAGAGGUGUUUGGAUAGUGUUGAGGUUGCUGAUUUGGUGGUGAACACAGAGGUUCAUAGUUGCAUUUUCAGGCAUAUUUUCAGCUUUAUUUUUGGAGCUUUUGAGCAGUUUUUCAAUGACUUUUCAUGGAGAUUCAAGGAGCUUUUUUACAAGGCUUAAAUGGAAGAAAGAUUAGUGAUUGAUGAUGAGGAAGAAGGGAAGAAGAGAGAGAUAUGGUGCUUCGUUUUUUUCAAUUUGUGCCUUCCCCCUCCCUCUAUUUUUUUGCUUCCUCCUCUGGUCUGUUUUUAGCCUUUUCUAUUCCCCAAUUUUUGCUAGCCUCUCUUUUUCAUUUUUUCCAGAUCCCCUUUCACUUUUUUUGUUUUGUUUUCCCCCCAAUCCUUGUGUGUGAGUGUUUGUAUAUAUAUUCAUUUAUUUUGGCAGGAAAAAGAAUUUCCCAGAAAGAUCGUGGGGCCUCUUGACAAAAAAAUGUGAGUGGGAAUUCAAUGGGGAUGCAUGUGAGUGAAUUGUGAGAUUGUGCAAAAGAAUUGGUUAUCCCAUUUUAUCUUUUUGUGAGGGUCCACACAUAAAGAGUGGAAAAAAUCUUUCUCUCAUUAAUUAAUUCCCCUUCUUUUCUUUUGAUACAGGAAAGUGACAUGAUUUCCUUCCUUUCUUCUCUUUCCUCAUUCUUUUUUUUUGUGUUUUUGCUUGUUUGUUGUUUUUUUUCUUUUUCCUUUAUUCUAAAGAUGAACUAAAAAAUAGCUUUAUAAAGAUACUAGUAUAUUUAAGAUAAUGAAAUAUUAAGAGGAGACAUAUAGUUAUUAUAUAAUGGAAUUUAAAUACUACUCAUUAUAUACUAAGAACCUACAACUUUAAAACUAAAAUAAAUAAAUAUAUUUUUUUUGUAAUUUUCUUCUUAUCUUUAUGGAAAUAAAAUGUCAAUACUAUUUUUGUAUUUUUUUAUGAAAGGCAGAUAAACUGAAAAUAACUAGAUAAAAUAUUAAUUAGCUAAAUAAAAGAAAAACAUUUUUGUAAUUUUUAUUUUUAUGAUAAAAUAAAGUAAAAGAGUCAAAACUAGUUAAAAUAGCAAUAUUUGACUUAAUCUAAAUAUUUAAAUGCUAAAUGUGUAAAAUCUCGAGAAGGGUAAAAAAUUACAUGUCUACAACUGUCCCUCUUUGACUGGAAACACAAAGAGUUUUCAGACAUAGAACGACGAGACAGGUUUUUUGACCCGACCCUUAUUUAGAGAGAUUAAAAACUAAAAAAAAGAGAAUGUGACCGAGCCCUAGUAUCUGAGCUGCCUACAUAUCCUUGGCUAUAAAGGAAUCAUGCCACGUGUAGUUCAGAAGUGAAUGAGGUGAUGGAGUGUACCGAGGUGGAGAGCUGAGUGAGGUUUCGUUCCGCCGAGGUUCCGGCCCGCGGUCCUGUUAUUACAUCAAAAUCAAAAAUGAAAAAGACUAACUAAGCCUAUCAGAUACGAGUUACAAGAUUCCUAUCUAUGAGCCUUCUGAAGCUUGAUCUUGAGUCUUGGUUGAUUCUUCAUGCGGACUCUGGUCUGAAUCUUGACGCUUGUUAGCUGUAGGUGUUGGUUCAAUCUUCUUCAGCUUUUUCAGAUCAAGACGGGACAUGUAGAGCUUGUGACUUCAAUUAUGUCUUGAGCAGUCCACAUCUUUUCUCUACUUCUGCACUUUGGAUUAACUUUUCUUUUUUUUUCUUUUAUUCUUGAUUGAGACUUUUUUUUGGUUAUCUCGGACUGUCGACUCGCAUUUUUGAGGCGAGCUUCCACUACUUCUAUCUUGAAUUGAAUUCUGAAAUGACUUCCCUUGUUCUCUAGGUGGUCGCCUGCUACUGAAUUGAAAUUUGAAGUGAUUCUGAAAUGAAUUCCCUUGUUCUCCAGGUGGGCGCCUUCCUACUACAACAAAACAGACAAAACAAAAGAAACUUUUCUGCCCCAGUUUGCACUAGGAAGAUUUGUGAGUUGUUAGUGAAACUAUAAAUCACCUACGCUACUGAUGAAGGAUGCAAUAAUAAGAGUAAAAUUAAUGACUCGACUAGGAUGUGCGUCUCCUAAAAAUGAUUGAGCUUGUGCAACUAUAAACUAAGCUUGACUAAAGUAAAGACUAACCCUAUUCUCCAGGCGGGGCCCUUGAUUUCAAGAAAACUAAAUAUUGAUAACGUAAGAAAACUAAAAAUUGACCUUUUUUUUUCAAAUUCAGACUUCCCCCUUUUAAAAAAAAAAUAUUAUCCUAGGAGAAAAUUCAUUGGACUGAGUUUUCUAUCUUAGGAGAAAGAUUCAUCAGACUAAGAUUUUGAUUCUAGGAGAAAGUUCAUCAGAUUAGGUCUCUUUUCUUCUUAUUUUUGGUAUCUUAGGAAAAAGAUUCAUCAGACUAAGAUUUUGAUCCUAGGAGAAAGUUCCUCAGACUAGGUCUCUUUCUGGUAUCUUAGGCGAAAGAUUCAUUAGACUAAGAUUUUAAUCCUUGGAGAAAGAUUCAUCAGACUAGGUUUUCUAUCUUAGGAGAAAGAUUCAUCAGACUAAGAUUUCGAUCCUAGGAGAAAAUUCAUUAAACUAGGUCACUUUUUUGUUACCUUAGGAGAAAGAUUCAUCAGACUAGGUUUUCUAUCUUAGGAGAAAAAUUCAUCAGACUAAGAUUUCGAUCCUAGGAGAAAAUUCAUCACACUAGGUCCAUUUCUUUUGUUAACUUAUGAGAAAGAUUCAUCACACUAAGACUUUGAUCCUAGGAGAAAAUUCAUCAAACUAGGUCAUUUUUUUUGUUAUCUUAGGAGAAAGAUUCAUCAGNNNNNNNNNNNNNNNNNNNNNNNNNNNNNNNNNNNNNNNNNNNNNNNNNNNNNNNNNNGAUCCUAGGAGAAAAUUCAUCACACUAGGUCCAUUUCUUUUGUUAACUUAUGAGAAAGAUUCAUCACACUAAGACUUUGAUCCUAGGAGAAAAUUCAUCAAACUAGGUCAUUUUUUUUUGUUAUCUUAGGAGAAAGAUUCAUCAGACUAAGAUUUUGAUCCUAGGAGAAAGUUUAUCAGACUAGGUUUCUUUUCCUUCUUUUUUUGUAUCUUAGGAGAAAGAUUCAUCAGACUAAGAUUUCUAUCAUAUGAGAAAGUUCAUCAGACUAGAUUUUCUAUCUUAGGAGACAGACUCAUCAGACUAAGAUUUUUAUUAGGAGGAAAAUCCAUCAGACUAGGACUUUUUAUCCUAGGAGAAAAAAAAAUGGGAAGAUCAACGACGAGAUUUUAUGCACAAUAGCAAGGCAAAUAAAGGCAAAGAUUUGAGAAACUUCCCUUUGUCGGCUCUUCUCCUCUUUUUUUUGAACCACUUUCCUUGCACUGCUUUGUUCCUGUUUAAACAAAGAAAAUUUUUGUCAGAUUCAAAAGUGGUGGUUGGCUUGUGGCCUUGAGUCUUGAGCAGCUUGGCUUUUGCUCGAUCAGCCUGAGUCGAUCUCAAGAAACUUUUGUUCUGCACCACCUCUGAUUGUUUCACACCCAGUACCAUUUGUAUUUGUAACUCAAAUAGCCUUAUCCCAACUGGAGAUCUUUGCUUAGGUGACCUUUUUUGAUAUCUUGAAUGACUUCCUGCUUUUGAGUAAUUUGUUUGUUAGAGAGAAUCACCAGUUAUCUUUGCUUGCGCCAAAUAGGCUGACAAGAAUCUUUUGCGGGAGGCUUUUCUUGAAUCCUCAAGGCACAUUGACAGUAACAACCGAGUGUGCUGGCCAAAUUUACUUUGUGCAACUGAAAAUCUGGUAGCAGAUUUUGAAAUCUUUUCUUGCUUGUUUUGACAAGGACUGACUCGGAGUGAAGGACACAAUGAUGCAAAGAAACAAGUAUUAACAAGAAAUGCCCAUGUCGGAAGGACAGAAGGAAGAGUUUUUUUUCCUUUUCUAUUUUUUUCUUUGUUUUUUUCCCAAUAACUAGCCUUAAUAGUCAUGACAUGUAUUUUGGACUCAAUGGCCUGAUCUAUCAAACUAAUCCAAUUUUCCCUUUUGCCAUUCUUAUGACCUUUGAAGUCGGGCUUGUUUGUGUCAAUCUUUCGCAUUAUCUUCACGACUCACUUUCGACUAGUGGUGCCCCGAGGGAUUUUCACCAAUAAAUCUCUUUCAUUUGUUCAUCUCUGCUUACUGUCGUCUUACAAUGCCCGUGAGAGUUUUCACUAGUAAGACUCUCUCAUUUUUUUUCUUUUUCUCCAUUGAUUUCUUGAGCAACUUAACAGUAUUCUAUGUCGUGUGACAACCAUUGCUCAUUGCAUGCUUCUCUUUGCAUUUUUUGAAGUCAUAUCGGGAGGUCGUUAUUUGGAAUGAUUUUGGAUAGGGUUGAAAAGAAAGGACGUUAUGAUGACUCGAAAUAGACUCAAAAUAAAAGGGGGUUAUAGACUUACAACUUCUUGGAAUCGACUCUUUCAAAAGUGAAAUAAAAUCUUUGCCCCAGUUUCAGCUAUUGGGGAUUUUUUGGAAUUUUUUUUUGAAUUCUUAUUUGGUUAGACCGAACCGUGAAGCUUCCUACGUAUCCUUUUUUAAAGAAUCAGGUCGAACGUAGUUCAAACAUCUGACCUAACUAUUUUUUUUUCAUNNNNNNNNNNNNNNNNNNNNNNNNNNNNNNNNNNNNNNNNNNNNNNNNNNNNNNNNNNNNNNNNNNNNNNNNNNNNNNNNNNNNNNNNNNNNNNNNNNNNNNNNNNNNNNNNNNNNNNNNNNNNNNNNNNNNNNNNNNNCUUUCUCUUUUUUCUUUUUUUUUUCGCUUUUUUCUCUUUUUUUUUUCAAAACAAGUUGCCCCAACUUUUAUUUUCUGGGGACAUGGACCUUUGAGUAUUUUUUUUUUCUUUUUCGCUUUUUUUUCUUUCCUUUUUUUUUUCAAAACAAGUUGCCCCAACUUUUAUUUUCUGGGGACAUGGACCUUUGACUUUUUUUUUCUUUUUUUUGAACCUUUCUAAGAGUUGCCCCAGUUUAUACUCUUGGGGAAUAGACUUCUCUUUUUUUUGCAUCAUUUUUCAUUUUUUUAUUGGACUUUUAACUCUAAACUUGAUUCCAAAAGAGGGUGGUCAAAGAAAAUAACACAGGCUCAAAAUGGGUAACAAAGGGUAUAAAGUGUUUGGUAGUAGAAAGAGGGCCUCCCAGCCUCGAGAAUGCCAAACAUAUUAUCUUUUCGCGAUCACAACAUUGACGAACAUGUCUGUCUUCUUGGUGUGUCAUGGUUACAAGGCACUUUCCAUCCCUUACUGCCAAACUUUCCAACAGACUUCAAUUGAUUUUUCCUCAACCCGAUCUUCAUAAUGAUUUUGAAGGUAAAGAUUCUUAACCUUCACAGGUCUGACUAUUCUAGUUCCACUUGAAUUUUACUCGGGCUUAAUUCCAUGGUAUUUCAACUCUUUUUCAUCCUCAAAAGUGCCUUUUCCUCAGUUGUCCAAUUCAAGCUUAAAUCAAUUUUCUAAGAUCUGGCCAAAAAUUCCGCAUGCAUGUCAUAUCACUAAAACUAGCGGGAAAAGAACUGAGCAUGGAAGGACACAAAAUGAAAAACUCUAUUUUAUUGAGUAAACAACAAGACAAAUAACCUAAAAUCUGAGUUACAACCCUAAAAUAACCCGGCUAAUGAAAAUAGCAACAAAACCAGACAUAUAAGACUCACACAAACGAAAUAGAGUGAUAGAAGGGUUUGACUCAAUAAAACAAAUAAAAUCUGGAUCUCAACCCUGAAAUAACCCAGAAAAUAGAAAAAACAUCAAAACAAGCUACCAAGAUUCCUUCCUAAUGAGGAGAGAAUGACUUUUUCAAUUGCUAAGCUUGACAUUUAGCCACAAAUUUGCUCAUCAGAAUCACCAUGGCCUUCUCCAAUUUCAGUCGGCAAGUUCCCAAGAGGAUUUUUAUUUUCCAUGUCACCACGCAUCAUCCCCACAGAGUGUGCAUCAUCAUGUGGAGGUAAAAGAUUCUGUGUGAUGUUCUAGGUGUCAUUGUCUUGGAUCACAAUUAGUUAUUCCUGGAUCAUCCUUUCUAUUUCUCUUUUCAAAUUCCGACAGCUUUCAACAUCGUGCCCUUGGGCAUUGGAAUGGUAUUCACACCUUUUAGAAGGGUCAAAGCUUUUUGCACGUGGGUCCAAAUGAUUUGGAGGAAUAGGUGCAAUCAUGUCAUAAUGCUUUAAUUUCUCAAACAAGCUUGCAUAAGACUCUCAUAUUGGUGUAAAAUUAUAUNNNNNNNNNNNNNNNNNNNNNNNNNNNNNNNNNNNNNNNNNNNNNNNNNNNNNNNNNNNNNNNNNNNNNNNNNNNNNNNNNNNNNNNNNNNNNNNNNNNNNNNNNNNNNNNNNNNNNNNNNNNNNNNNNNNNNNNNNNNNNNNNNNNNNNNNNNNNNNNNNNNNNNNNNNNNNNNAGCAAAAGAGUAUUGUGGGUUUUGAGGUGGGUAAUAGUGCUCAGGAAAAUCAUCGAAAAUUAUACAAGGCUGGUCAUACCUUCAAGAUGUUCUCUUAGGACCUCUUCUCAACCCUGAUGUCAUCAUGAUUUCCUCCUCCUUCUCAUUCAUGGCACAAAAAUUACUAGAUUCAAUUUGGACUGCCUGAGUUGCAGCUUUGAGAGCUGCUUGACUUAUAAUUCUGCAUGUCUUAAGGUCAUUCUCUAUCAUUUCUCCCAUUUUGAUUGCUUCCGAGAAAGAUUUGCCAAUUGCGGACAUCAUGUUUUGAAAGUAAUCUGGCUCUUGAGCAUGGAGGAAGAUAGUGAUUAGCUUAUGGUCAUCCAUGGGUGGCUUAACUCUAGCCGCUUGCUCUCUCCAUUUAAUGGCAUAUUCCCUGAAACUUUCAGUUAGUUAUUUCUUCAUGUUAGAAAGGGAAUUGCGGUCUAGGGCAAUGUCGAUGUUGUAUUGGAACUGUUUGACAAAGGCCUGAGCCAUGUCAUCCUAGACAUACCAGCGAGAUGUGUCUUGAUCCAUAAACUAUUCGGAGGCUACUCCUGUAAGGCUUUCCCCAAAAUAAGCCAUCAAUAAUACUUCCUUUCCUCCCCCACCUCUUAGUUGAUUGCAAUACCUUUUCAGGUGGGCUAUGGGGUCUCCAUGUCCAUCAUACUUUUCAAAUUUGGAAGUCUUGAAACCAGGUGGCAAGUGGACAUCGGGGAACAUACAUAAAUCCUUGAAGGCAAUGCUCUUCUGACCAGCCAACCCUUGUAUGUUUUUCAACUGUUGUUCUAAGUUUUUCACUCUUUGGGUCAUUUCUUCCUAUGCCAUCUUUCGGGCAGGCUUUCAAUGUUUGCAGGAAGAUCAAACAAGUACGAGUGGUACUCAGGAGAGUGGUACUACUCUUGUUGGGUAGCAAAUUGUGACUCAUGAGUUUUCUUCUGCACCACCGUCGGUUGUGGGAUAGUGAAGACGGGCAUAACAGUAGUGGUUGUCUGAUUGGUUGUCAAUGGAAAACUUUGGGAGCAUGCAACAUAAGUUCCAGUUGUAGUCGUACAGUUGGGAUAAGGACUGAACCCAGGUGGAUAGGAUUGAUCAGACAAUGAGGUCGGAAUGGCAGUAGUCGAGAUAGGUGUGAACUCUGGGAAACCAUGAGAAGAAAAAGGCGGUCCUUGUCCAUUGGCCCAUGCUUGACACAUUUCAGUCAUUUUUUAUUUCAGUAUUCUAUUUUCCUCAACCAUAGUAGACUCUUGUUGAACCCUCUGACUCUGAGUCUCUUGAGCAUUUGUAAUAGCUUCGAUGUCGGUUGUCAAUGACAUUUUCCCUUGGAGCUUGUGUUGCCAGCCUACCACAAACCAACCACCUUAAACUUUAUUCACAAUUCAAAACAAGAGACACGUUAGAAUGGACUCAGUCAGUCCUUAUUGUUAUCAUUCUUUUUCAUUUUUUUUAAUUUUUCAUUUUAUCAUUUUUUUUAUUUUUUUAGCGGUUGAUCGAACCUGAUGUGGGUUGCGUACGUAUCAUGUGGGAACAUGAAUCAGAUCUUGCGUAGUUCGGGAAGAUUAAGAAUAAAGGAAAUAAACUAAAUCUUUUUUUUAGACUUUGAAUUUCUUUUCUUUUUAAAUUUUUGAAAGAAAGACUUAUAAAGAAGAAAGAAAAUAUUUUUUGAUUUAGAUUUUUUUUUUUGGAAUUUCGAAAGAAAAACUUCUAAAGAAGAAAGAAAAUACAUUUGGAUUUUUGGACUUUUAUGUUAAAAUUAUGAAAGAAAGACUUCUAAAGAAAAUAUUUUUGAAUCUUGAAUUUUCUUUUCUACUUUCGAAAUAAAAACUUCAAAAGAAGAAUGAAAAUAUUUUUGGACUUUUUAGAAGAAAUUAAAAGAAAAUAUUUUUGGAUUUUUUGAAAAUUGGGGCCUUAAAGAACGACUUUUCUAAAUAAUAAAGUAAAGGAAAAUAUUUUUGGGUUUUUAAAAAUUGGGGGUCGGAACCGAUGAGAUUUUCCUACGUAUCUCACAUCCGGUGGGCAUCAGACUCGCAUAGUUCGGUAAAUUUUGACGGAACAUGGAAACAUGGUCCUUGAAAAUUUUGGCUCAUUUUGAAAUGACUUUUCUUUUUUUUUUUCCAGAAUUUCGGAAGAGUUUCAAGAUUUUCAAAUACCUAUCUUACUCUUGUUUUUUCUCUUGAUUUUCUUUUCCUAGCCAAUCGACAUGCAAGCCGAAACAACAAAAUGUUCACAUAGAACGUAUGAUGCAUCAGGAUGAUAUGUUAUUUUGGGUAUACCUGUCCUAGAUAGACUCAACCCCUGUGUUGAGUCCCCAAUAUCAAAUGCACGUGAUGCAAAUAAACGUUCCUACUUGGGAUCCGGCAUGAGGUUACGUUAUUCUAAGUUUAAACCUGGGGUUGUGUUCUAAACCUGGCUUACCCGAGUGGACAACUAGAGCAGAAGAGGGGGCAACGUACCGGGAGCACGAAAGUCUACCCGGCCAUGUUGCUGGCCCAACCUCAUUAUUUUUGGCAUGACUUAUAACAUAAAAAGUGGACCACGCGAACGUGUGCACCGUUUUUUAGAAGACUGAGAAGGGAGGCGUAGGGAGAUAGUUUAAUACAGUUCAAGUAAUAUCAAAGCGGUAAAUAAACGGCAAUUACCACACUAGGUCCACAAAAUACAGUAAUAUCAACAAUAAAUAAAACCAAGUAAAAAUCAUAUUAACAAGCUCGAAUUCUUGAACCCUGAACCAAAAAUUCUGGGUUCUCGAACCUAGCAGAGUUGCCAGAGCUGUCACACCUCCUUUUUCUACCCCGGAAGGGGAUAUAAGGGAGUUUUUCUAAUUAAAGUGGCAAUAAUCGAAAUGGGUUUAAUUAUUCAAUUCAGAGUCGCCAUUUGGGAUAAUUUAUGGUGUCCUAAGUCACCGGUUUGUUUUUAAAUCCCAUAUCAAGGAAAUUUGACUCUUAUUUAUGGUCUGCGAUAUCAAAAGAUCGAGUAAGGAAUUCUGUUAAUCCGGGAAAAGGUGUUAGGCAUUCCCGAGAUCCGUGGUUUUAACACGGUCACUUAGAAAUUUAUACUUGGCUUAUUUUAUCUAAUUAGCCAUUUUAGGACCUAUGUUUAUUUUACCGCUACUAAUCACUUGGUUACCCCUAUCUAAAGAAUUAACUUAAGACGAGUUACAAGUACGUAUACUCGUUUAGUUUGGUGCGUCAAAAUCAUGUCACGCGUACGUGUACACAAUUAAUAACACUUUAUUAUUAUUAAGAAAGUUUGGCCGAAGUUGCGCGAACGCAUACCUCGAUUUAUUUUGAAAAUCAUAAAUAUGUCAUGCGAACGUGUACACAAUCACGAUGAUAGAUUAAGUCACGCCUAAAGCAUUUCUACAAAUAUUUAUUAGUUAUUCUUCCUAAACUUUGAGAUUAUUGUAAGGUAAGAGUUAUGAAAUAAAUUUGUGGAGAUGGGUAUAUGAUUACGACGUUAUUGGGCUUGACAAAUUUAUUAUUUUGCCCAAACUAGUUCAACUCAAUACUUUUAAGUGUAAAAGGUUCACCACUUUUCUAUUCUUCAGUCACUCCCCAUGGCCCACAAAUUUUCACCUACAACCCAAUUUUAACUUCACUCUCUCUCAAAAAUCCAGCAUACAAAAUAAUUCUCAAAGAGAAAACUUCUAACAAGCAACUUAAACAAAUGCAUUAGAUUAAGAAAAAAGCCACUAACAUAAUAUUAAUCAUUGACAAAUCACCUAAUAGAAUUAAACUUAAUGCCAUCCUCUGUUUCUAUUCAAAAUUUAAUUAUAUAAACUUAGGAACAACUCAAUAUUGAUUACACAAAUUAAAUAACAAAACUCAACAUUAAAUACACAAACUUAAUAACCAAACUCAACAUUACACACCCAUUAACACAAGACGGCAAAUUCAAAUAACAAAUAUGAACCAUUUAAUCAGUGACAAGCAAUUAUAGAAGAAGAAAGAUCAAUCCUAUUCGUGAAGAAUAAAGAAAAAUAAGCUGACCUUUAUGCUAAACAAUUUGAUGUCGAACACUGUUGAAAUUUCACAGCCAAAGAAACCUUGAAACAGAGCCUCUAAACUACACCUCGCUGGCGACCUCAAAACUCGAUUGAAGAUGGUGUUUUAAUGGUGUUUUGGAGGCAUUUUUGCUGGUUAGAGGUGCUGAGUUUUGGAAUUUUUUGGGGGCAUGUUUUUGUGGUUAAGAGCUGCGAACAUGGCCAGCCUUCAUGGCUGUUUUGAGGGGAGGAAAACAGAGGUGUUUAGAUAGUGUUGAGGCUGUUGAUUUGGUGGUGAAAACAGAGGUUCAUGGCUGCAUUUUCAGGCAUAUUUUCAGCUCUCUUUUUGGAGUUUUGAGCAGCUUUUCUAUGGCUUUUCACGGAGAUUCAAGGAGCUUUUUUAUAUGGUUUAAAUGGAAGAAAGAUUAGUGAUUGAUGAUGAGGAAGAAGGGAAGAAGCGAGAGAUAUGGUGCUUUGUUUUUUUUUCAAUUUGUGCCUUCCCCCUCCCUCUGUUUUUUUGCUUCCUCCUCAGCUCUGUUUUUAGCCUUUUCUAUUCCCCAAUUUUUGCUAGCCUCUCUUUUUCGUUUUUUCCAGAUCCAGUUUCAUUUUUUUUUUGUUUUGUUUUUGCCCCAAUCCCUAUACGUGAGUUUGUGUAUAUAUUCAUUUGUUUUGGCAGGAAAGAGAAUUUCCCAGAAAGAUCGUGGGGCCUCUUGACAAAAAAACGUGAGUGGAAAUUCAAUAGGGGUGCAUGUGAGUGAAAUGUGAGAUUGUGCAAAAGAGUUGGUUAUCCCAUUUUGUCUUUUUUGAGGCGUCCACACAUAAAGAGUGGAAAGAAUCUUUCUCUCAUUAAUUAAUUCCCCUUCUUUUCUUUUGAUAUGGGAAAGUGACGUGAUUUCCUUUCUUUAUUCUCUCUCCUCAUUCUUUGUUUUUGUGUUUUUCCUUGUUUGUUGUUUUUUUUCUUUUAUUCUAAAGAUGAAUUAAAAAAUAACUUUAUAAAGAUACUAGCAUAUUUAAGAUAAUAAAAUAUUAAGAGGAGACAUAUAGUUACUAUAUUAAUGGAAUUUAAAUACUACUCACUAUAUACUAAGAACCUACAAUUCUAAAACUAAACUAAGUAACUAUAUUUUUUUUGUAAUUUUCUUCUUAUCUUUAUGGAAAUAAAAUGUCAAUACUAUUUUUGUAUUUUUUAUGAAAGGUAGAUAAACUGAAAAUAACUAGAUAAAAUAUCAAUUAGCUAAAUAAAAGAAAAAUAUUUUUGUAAUUUUUUAUUUUUGUGAUAAAAUAAAGUAAAAGAGUCAAAACUAGUUAAAAUAGCAAUAUUAGACCUAAACUAAAUAUUUAAACGCUAAAAUAUGUAAAAUCUCGGGGAGGGUAAAAAAUUACAUGUCUACAAACUCUACUUUGUUCUCUUUAUCACAGAUUUGAGAAACACUCAAGAGACUGUACUUUAGGAAAUCGACAUAGUACACGUUCUCAAUUAAGUGUGAAAGAGACUUUUCAACUUUUCCAACACCGAGAAUGUACCCUUUUUUUAUGUUCAAAGGAUACAUUCCCUUCCCUGCAGGGCUUUCAGUGGGAGAAAAUCUAUGGUGUUUCCAGUCAUGUGCUUUUAGCAUCCACUGUCCAUGAACCAUUGGAGUCCGCUACCUCUCACUGUUACCUACACAUAUAAAUUAUGGGUUAGAUUUAGGAACCCAAACUAGUUUGGGUCCCUUGUUAUGAGAAAAAGGAUGAAUUCGAGCUUUUCUAGUCCAUGCAGGCAAUAUUCGUUUCUUGCGAGUGGUACCUGGUCCUUCUUUAGUAGUCACUUUUUCAGUAAACACUUGGUUUUCUGAACAGAUUGAACUCUGGUCUGGCAAUUUUCUUUGAAGUGUCCAUUGUUCCCACAGUGGGUACAAAACCAGUUAUCAGAAACUAUAACAUACUUGCUAUGAGGGUUGUAAGGAGUUUUCUCCUUUUGAAACCCAAUUCCCUGCAUGUUUCCACUAUUAUUGAAGUACAUGGCAGUGACAACAUCUGAGGACCAGGUCCACUUGAGAGAUUUUUAAAGAUCAGUUUUUACUUUCUUCAGUUCAGCUUGAAGCUGCCUAUUUUUCUCAAGUUCACCAUAUAGACUAGUUUUAACAUCAUUUAAUUCUUUUUCAAGCUUGAUGUGUGACUCACUUGCUACUUCUUCCCCUUUUUCAAUACUUGCAGGCCUAAAUUCUGAUUUGAGUCCCUCAAUAAUUUUUCUCUAGGUCAGUGAUUAUUACUAAAAAAUCAUCUCUCUCUUGCUCAGUAGCUGCAAUUUUCUCUUCUAGAGUGUGCUUUUCAAUGCUAAAGCCUUCUAUGAUUUCUUUAAAAUCAACAACCACUACCAUCAAGUCAUCUCUCUCAUUUUCUACACUAUUUAUUUAUUCAUUUAAAGCUUUCUUUUCUUUUUCAAGAUUAGCUAUGGUCUCAUUUACAUCAAGUACACAGACCACCAUAUCGUCUCUAGAUUGUUCAACAUCUCCUAGCUCUAUGGUCAAGAUCUCCUUAUCAUUAAUAAGGCUAUAAUAUGCAUCAAUUAGAACAUUUGCUAAUGACCUUAAUUUCUUAGAAGAGUAAGACUUCAUAUUUCUUUGAACAUCUCUGAAAUUUACCUCAUCAUUUUCAUCCUCUUCAUCAUUGUCAGACUGAGCCAUCGGUGCAAACAGUGAGUCAUAUUUUGUUGCUUCAGUUUCCACUACCAUCAUAGAGCUAUUUUCUGCAUCUGGUUCCCCUUGUAAUUCACUGGAGGAGUCUCCCCAAGUAGAAAGAGCUUGCUUUACAACAUUGUCAGCUGUACUUUUUCGACUGAAUCGUUUGUCAGGAACCAGGUUUAUUUUUUAUGCUUUGUCAUAGUUUUGCUUGUAUUGCUCCUGUUUCAGAAGUUGGCAGUCUUUGAUGAAAUGCCCUGGCUUUCCGCACGUGUGAUAAAGAUCAUUGUUCCUUGCCUUACUUGAACUACCCCUCUUUGGUAUACCACAUUUCUUCGAACCAUCUUUUGAAACAUUUUAGUAAGAUAGGCCAUAUCACUAUCUUCUUCACUUGAGUCAUUGUUUUCAGCUUGAGCACUAGGUUCUUUUCCUUCUUUGGCUCUCUCCUUUCACUGUGUUUCUUUCUUUUCAUCUCAUAUGUCUUCAGAUUUCCAAUCAGCUCAUCCAUGGUUAGAGUUUGUAAAUCUUUUGCUUCAGUGAUGGCAUUCACCUUACUCUCCCAAGAGCCAGGUAGAACACUGAGAAUCUUCCAUACAAGCUUGUUUCUGGGAAUAACAUCUCCAAGUGAAUGAAGCUCAUUUAUGAUGGAUGUGAAUCUAGUAUGCAUAUCUUGUAUAGACUCAUCAUCCUUCAUCCUGAAGAGCUCAUACUCAGGGGUGAGCAUGUCAAUCUUGGAUUGUUUAACCUGAGUAGUUCCUUCGUGUGCGGUUUGCAAUGCUUCCCAUAUUUCCUUGGCAGAAUCACAAUUGGAGAUUCUGUUGUACUCAUCAGGUCCUAUACCACAUACCAAAAUUUUCUUGGCACGAUAGUUCUUUUCUACAACUUUUCUGUCAAUAUCACUGUACUCUUUCCUGUCUUUCGGCACCAUUGGUCCAGUUUCUCCAAAAUUCUUCAUAGGAACAUGUGGACCAUCACAAAUGAUGUCCCACAGCUCUGAGUCUUCUGCCAUUAUAAAAUCAUGCAUACGAGUCUUCCAUCAGCCGUAGUACAGACCAUUGAAUCUAGGAGGUCUGUAGGUUGAAUGUCCUUCCUCAAAGUCAGGUGGAGCAGCCAUUGAGAUCCUUUUUAGGUAUUAACCUUUUAGAAAGAACCUGCUCUGAUACCAAUUGUUAGUUUAUAUGAAUCCACCACACUAUAGAGUACCUAGUCCUCUAUGAGUUUCCACUGAAAAUACUAAUGAAGUAGUAAGUAAAUGAGACACGGGAUUUUUACGUGGAAAAAUCCCACUCAAGGGGACAAAAACCACGACCUACACUUGUAGGCUUUCAACUUCACUAACUUGCAAUCACAUUAUUACAAGCCACUUUGUAAUGACUUUAUUACAAAGACUUCAACUCAACUGACUUAUGAUACACUUACCACAAGCCACUUUGUCACACACUAGUUACAAAGACUUUAACUUAUGACUAACUCUCUUCACAAUAUAAACUCAGAAGGUUUAUGAUUUUGGGUUUCCUUAAACACAGCUUCUUAGAAAGAAAGAUAGGAGUUACAAAGAAGAACAAAUAACAAGAUUACAACUCAACUACGGAUACACAUAGACUCAUUGUGGAACUGAUCCUUAGUGGAGUUGUCUUCUUGUUCUUGAUACACUUGUGACUUCAAUGCUGUAUCAACUCUUUAUUGCCGGUUGUUUCAUGUGUUACCGCUCCAUUUUCCCCAUUUCUGCAUCUUAUUAUCUUGUUCAGCGAUAUUAUGUAUUAUCGGGUCGGGUUUUGGUUAAUUUCAGGAUUCGUGUUAUAAUUUGAUUACUUUUGAGUGGGCUGUUCCCUUAGCUUAUUUUAAUGGUUAUAUACUGAUUUUGGUUAGAUUUGGAGCAUUCGGAGGCCGAUUCGAGAGGCAAAGGCAUCACGGGCUAGAGGUUUGACCGGAUAGAGAUGAGUAAUGAUUGUAAAUAUUGUCCUGAGGGUUGGAAAUCCCGAAUUUCACAUUGUUGUGCUACUUUGAGGUGACACACACGCUAGAUGACGAGCGUGAGGUCAUGCACCAUUGGGAAUCGUGACUUAGUCCGUCCCGUAUGACUGUUAACGACGUAUUUGAUUGAAAAUUGUUUGCUAUCAUCAUGUUUUGGGCUGAAUGCAUAAGGGAUUUUACUACUAUUCCUCACUGUUUUGACUUCGUAAUUGUACUCAGUUAUGUUAUAUUCUACUAUUUUCAUAACUCAGCCAUCUUUAUUUGUUUUUGAUAUUUUAAAUGAUAUUUUGGGCUGAGAUCAUGUUUUACUGUUGCCCGAGUAGCUUAUGAGUUUCUGACUGAGUAAGGCUGACGACUUGUGUUGUGAGGAUACUUUUGGAUGGGCUGUGCGUCGCAGCAAUGAUAUAUUGAUUCUUGAUUAUGAGGCUGAGGUCCUGAUUUGUUACGCCACGAGGUGGCUUGUUAUAAGGUCGAGUGCUUGUUUGAUUAUGCUACGAGAUGACUUGAUAUCGUGCUUGGGCUGUUAGGGGCCCCACCCGGAGUCUGUGCACCCCAGUGAGCGCGGGUACCCAGUGUGAGAUGUGAUAUAGCCCGAGGGGCUGAUGUUGUUCUAUGUUAUUGCUCGAGGGGCUGAUAUGAGUGAUUGUGAGAUAGCUCGAGGGGCUGAUUCUGUUUGUAUUUUGCCCGAGGGGUUGAUUUUAUGUGUCUAUCUUUUAUCACUACUUUUCAUUCACUCGUUUAACUGCUAAAAGUUAUUUUACAGAGGUUUUUAUUGAACUAAGGUGUUUCUAUGAGUUUUUACUGAUUAUUGCCUUGUUCUGGUUUUACACUGCCUCUUUGUAGCAUUUUGCUAUAUUUUACGUGUUUUCUUAUUGCUCAGCUGCCAUUACUUUUAUUACUCACUGAGUUGGCAUACUCACAUUACUCUCUGCACACUGUGUGCAGAUUCAGGAGCCUCGAGUCCCACUAGCGAGGGCUGAUUGCUUCCAGCAGGCUGUUCGGAGUUCACUAGGUAGCUGCUCGGCAUUCGCAGCUAAGUGUUUCUCCCUCUUAUCUUACUUUCCUUUGUACUAGUUCUGUAAUAGACUGUGUAGUGUCUUUCAUACUCUUAGACAGAUUGUUAGAUGCUCAUGACUGGUGACACACCGAUGUCGGGCUGUGUUUGUUUCCGCACUUGUUCUAUUUCACUUUAUUUUGGAAUUUAUCACUUAUUAAUGACUUAAUUAUGAAUUAUAUAACUGUUAAUUGGUAUUGGGGGUUUGUGUCAGUUGGCCUUGUUUAACGAUAGGCGCCAUCACGAUUGAAUCCGGUUUAGGGUCUUGACACUUUAAUGCUUAAGAGAAUAUCACUAAAUGCUCAAGUAAAUAUCUUGUUCCUUGCACCAUGUUGUUAUACUACCAAAGACAUCCCAAGGAUGAUGUCAGUUCAUGGUUAGUACAUGCCUCUUCCCAAUGGGAAAUGAUUGCUACAUUGUCUGCUGCACUGUUGCGUGUACAGUUGCAGGCAGGUACUUUCUAUAGUGGUUUUCCAGCUGUAUAGUUGACUUAUACAUCUGUCAGAGAACAUCUAGGGAUCAGGUCUCUAUCUUGUUCCUCUUUUCUCUUUAUUUGCAGCAAUUCACAUUGGAUGGAGUUUAGGCUGGACUUCGUUCAUUUGAAAAGUGUACCAAGUGUGUCAGGUUCCCUAUCUAGUUCUUGACAGUAAGUUUGUUAGAUUAUCAUAACAUAAGGCAAAGACAUUGAAAGCCCAUCACUUACUCUCUCUCUCUCUCUCACACACACACACACAAAUAAAACUAUUAUCUCUCUAAUUGUACCAUCAUAUAUUUCUCUGAAUCAAUUCCACCAACAACCAUUAAAAAGCUUCAACUAUUGACAAAUCCAUCGACAUUAUCUCUGGAAUUGUAGGUAGAGGGGUCUGCCAUUGACAUAGCAUUAAAAAGCUUCAAAACUUUGAAUUAGAUAUUCGAUUUAUUUGUUUGUUUCUAAUUUUUUUGUAUAGGGUGUUCUUGAAUACGAUUGAAAAUAUCCUUUAGAGUUUAUAUCUCAAUUUUAAGAGAGAUUGGUUAAGUUUAAAGUUGGUUUAAGUUGAAUAUCAUAAUAAAACUCGAGGAAGAUGAAGUUUCGGAGUUGUAUUACGAUUGUAUGUUCAAUGUAUCAUAAUUGUAUCUGAUUUGUAUUUGAUACAUCAAUACCUAAGACAAUUUUAAUACAAUACUAAUACUAUUAAAAUUCAAUAUUGUAUUAUAAUUUAAGUUUAGAGUUAGUUCUAGGUGGAUGUUUUAAAUUGAAACUUCAAAAAGAUGAAGAUCAAAGUUGUAUCAUUGUAUCACAAUUAUAUCACAAUUUGUACCUAAAACAAUACAUGAUACAAUACUUAUACAAGUAUAAUACAAUAUUAUUUCAGUUUAAGUUUAGAGUCGGUUUUAAGUUGUAUUAUAAUUGUAUCAUAAUUGUAAGAAUUCUUUCAAGAUUGUAUAAAAUUUAUAUCUGAAUUAUGAGCAGUUGUGAGAUCGUGACAAAUUUCACAGUUUAUAUCACAAAUAUAUGAUAAUUAUAUAUUAAUUUAUUAGUAUUAUAUCAGGUAUUAUUUUGGAUAUUAAUGUACCAUCUACAAGUUAUAUACAAUUGUGAUACAAGUAUGAUACAAUUAUGUGUUUUACGUAUUGAUGUAUCUGAUAUAAUUUAAAUACAAUUAUGAUACAUUUAUCAUACAAUUCCUAAAUAUUUCUUCAUUUUCAGUGUUGUCUGGUCUCCCAGCAAAAGAACGAUGUAAUUGAUGAUUUAAUAAUAUAAAAUUAUUGGAAAUGGUGGGAAGAGAGAAGAAGGAGAUUAUAUGGGCUUAGAUUAAGGAAUUUUAUUGUAAAAAAAGGAGAGAGAAAAGGAGAGGAAAAAAAGAAAGUAUAUAAUUGAAUCCUUCAAUUGAAGGCUGUCACGAACUUAAAACCAACUCGGUCGUGAUGGCACCUAUCGUGAAACUAGGCCAGCCGACACAACACCCGAAUUAACCAUUUAAUCAAUAAAAGUCAUUUUUAAGUCUUUAUUUAAUCAAAUAUUUCAUAAUGAAAGUCUAAAUGAACAGUGCAGAAUAAAUACACAAGCCCGACAUCGGGGGUGUCACAAGUCACGAGAAUUUACUAAGGUCUGAAUACAACGAAAAGUCUAAAAAAUGUACUAAAUACAGUUUAAUGAAAAACAAGAGGAAAAAGCAGUGCUGCAGACGUCAGACAGCUACCUUGCUAACUCUGAUGACUCUGCUACUGAGCAAUCAACACCCACUACCAGGUACAGAAAUACCUGAAUCUGCACACAAGGUGCAAGGAGUAAUGUAAGUACUCCAACUCAAUAAGUAAUAAAGGUAAAUGAAAGCUGAGCAGUAAGAAAACAUGUAAGCCACGUCAAAUGCUACGACAAAUGCAGGAUAUUUCCAACACAGUAUAGAAAUCAUUUACUCCGUAAAUCAUGCUCAGUUUCGGUAAAACCUUUUUAAACAUUUUCAAUAGUUUCAAACGUGUGAUAAAAUAGUGAGUAAACAUGAUAGAAACGCAAACAGGCCCUCGGGCAAAACAUGUACCAUAAACCACCCCUCGGGCAUAAUAUCAACAGAACCAUCCCCUCGGGCUACCACACAAUCACUCAUAAUUAGCCCAUCGGGCAUAACAUAAAUCAAGAACCGCCCCUCGGGCAAUAACAUGGAACAACAUCAGCACCUCGGGCUAUAUCACAUCUCACACUGGGUACCCGCGCUCACUGGUGGUGUAGAGACUCUGGGAGGGGCCCCUUACAGCCUAAGAGCAAUAACAAGCCAUCUAAUAGCAUAAUAAACAUAUCACUCACUCAGGGUACCACACUCGCUAGGGGUGUACAGACUCCGGGAGGGGCCCCUUACGACCCAAGCGCAAUAUCAAGCCACCUCGUGGUAUAAUCAAUAGGCUCUCGGCCUCAUAUCAAGCCACCUUGUGGCGUACAACUCAAUCCCUCGACCUCAUAAUCAUGAAUCAGCUCAAUACCGCUGCGGCACGCAGCCCGAUCUCAUAAUAACCUCACAACACAGGCUCUCGGCCCUAUUCAGUACGAAAUCUAUAAAAGCCACUCAGGCAGAGUAAAAUAUGAUACUCAGCUCAAAAUCUCAUUUAAGAUGUCAAAACAGAGUAAACAUGGAUGAGUUAUAAAAACAGAAGAAUAUAGCAUGACUGAGUACAAGUAUAAAGUCAAAACAGUGUGGAAUAGUAGUAAAAAUCCCAUAAGGGUCCAAAACAGUUGGCACGAGGCCCAAAUAUGGCAUUUAGCCCAAAAUUGUGAUGACCCGGCCGGUCGUCUUAAGAAUUAAUGCCUCGAUCCCCUAUUAACUGCUUUCCCCAAGUUUAUUUCUACUAUUUUGAUUUGCCAGAAUGUUCGGUUUUGAGUUUCGGAGAGUUUUGGGAUACUUAGUCCCUAAAUGAGAGCUUAAGUGUUGGAAAGUUGACCGUAGACGGAAAAGUGUGAAGACAGCCUCGGAAUGGAAAUCCGAUUGUUCUGUUAGCUCCGUUGGGUGAUUUUGGGGUUAGGAGCAUGUUUGGAUUGUGUUUUGGAGGUCCGUAGCUAAUUUAUGCUUGAAAUGCCGAAAAUUGAAUUUUUGAAGUUUUUGGUUCGAUAUUGAGAUGUUGAUAUGAGGGCCGGAAUGGAGUUUCGGAAGUUGGAGUAGAUCCGUAGUGUUUAAUAUGACGUGUGUGCAAAAUUUCAGGUCAUUCGGAUGAGGUUUGAUAGAACUUUUGAUCGAAAGCGUAUUUUGAGAAUCUUGGAGUUCUUAGGCUUAAAUCCAUGGUUAAUCUGAGGUUUCGAUAUUGUUUUAGGUGUUUUAAGGAUUUUUACAAGUUUGGAUAGUGGUUUGUGACUUCUUGGUGCCUUUGGUUGAGGUCCUAGAAGCCUCGGGAUGAUUUCGGAUGGUUGACGGAAAGAUUUUGGAAUUUAAAUUGCAGCUUCAGCUACUGGUUCUGUCAUAACCGCACCUGCGAUUUGGGUUCCGUAGGUACGGUGCCGCAGAAGUGGCUCAGUGGCCGCAGAAGCGGAAAAUGGGAACUUCCUCAGGAACCGCAGAAGCGGUGCUAAUUCCGCAGAAGCGGUACCGCAUCUGCGGAUUUGGUGUCGAGGUAAGUGGCUUGUCUAACCUUGUGUGGGGGACCUUCCCUUUAGGAUAUGAUAUAUUUGAUAACUUAAAUGCCUCGUUUGCGAGGUGACGAGCGCGUACUUGAGCUAGUGGUUGAAAAUCCAUUUUUUUCCUUAAGUACUUCAAUUGAGUUCUUUUUUUUCAUGUUUUAUUCUACUUGCGAAUUUAGCCUGUUGCUAGUUUAGAAAAGUAUGUUUAGUUGACUUAAUUGCCUAUUUUCGUAAACUGCCUUGCAUUACGUGAAGCAUCUUAGGCUUGAAUUAACUGUUUACUUGGUACUGAAUUUAGCUUAAUUGGGUAUUCUUGUGUUGUUGCUGUGUGUUUUUACUUUGGGAUUACGGGAUGACAUCCCAGGAGAUCCCCUGUACGUAUUUAUGAUCUGAACUGAGGUGCGGGAUACCAAGAGAUCCCUGACACGUAUAUUGAGGAUACCAAGAGAUCCUUGGGAUACCGAGAGAUCCCUAGCAUAUAUUGAGGAUACCAAGAGAUCCCUAGCAUAUAAUUGAGGAUACCAAGAGAUUCUCGGGAUACCAAGAGAUCCCCGGCUAUCAUCCUUGUUAUGAGUGGUACUUCCUGGUGUUUGCCUUUAUUUCUGUUUCCGUUAUUGUACUCCUUGUUAUCCUGAUUCUUACUGUAGAUUCUCAAUUGUACUAUUUAUCUUAUCAUGUCAUCUUAUUAUUUAUUUAACCUCAGUAGGGGCCUGACCUUCCUCGUCACUACCCAACCGAGGUUAGGCUUGGCACUUACUGAGUACCACUGUGGUGUACUCAUGCCCCUUCUACACAUGUUUUUUAUGUGCAAAUCCAGGUACCACUAUUUAGGCCUAUCUUCCUUAAGGAGUCAACUGCUCUAGAGACUUCGAGGUACAUCUGUCGUGUCCGCAGAUCGAGAAGUCCCUUUCUAUUCCUACUUUUAGUAUUUAGCCCUUCUGUAUUUUUCUAUUCUUAUGAGACAUUCCGGAGAUAGAGUUAUGUAAUAUUGAUCUUGUCUUAUGAUUCGUGGGUUUUCAGGUCUUGGAUUUAUGUUUUGGUAUUGAGAGUUGGAUAUGGUGUAUGCCGAGUGGCACAUUUAAACAUUGUUAUUACUUUAUUACUAUUUAAAGUUGUCUUAUUUUCCGCAAAUUUUGGUUUUCUUCUGCAAUUUAGGCUUACCUAGUCGUAGAGACUAGGUACCAUCACGAUGGUUCACAAAGGGAGAACCGGGGUCGUGACAAAGUUGCUAUAAGAGCUCUAGGUUCAUAGGAGUCAUGGAUCACAAGCCAGUUUAUUAGAGUCUCGCUGAUCGGUACGGAGACGUCGGUACUUAUCUACGAGAGGCUAUGUAACUGUUAAGAAAAUUCCACUUCAUUUGAUUUCCUUGUCGUGCGAGAUUUUAUGUCACAAUUCUAAACUUCUGUCUUCUAUUCUCUCACAAAUGGUGAGGACACACGCUGCCCGAGAUGAUCAUGNNNNNNNNNNNNNNNNNNNNNNNNNCCAGGGUAGAGGCCGAGGACGCGCACGUGGUGCAGCCAGAGCACCUGCGCGAGCUGCCAUCGGGGUACCACCAGUAGUUCUAGCCGGAGUCCAGGCACCUGAUACGCCUACUGCUACUACUACUCCAGCACUUUAGGAGACUCUGGCACAUUUCAUGAGAAUGUAUACUACUUUGGCUCAGGUAGGGUUGUUUCCCCUUGCUGCAGCUAUAUCUCAGGCCGGGGGAGGAGCACAAACUCCUGCUGCAUGCACUCCUGAGCAGUGAGUGCAUGUUGAGCAGGCCUUGAGAUUAUUCCUAUAUAGCCUGCAGUCCGAGAUUAGCCCGAGGACAGGGCAGUGGUUUUCGAGAAUGAGCAGCUGAGGCUUGAGAGGUUCAAGAAGUACAAGCCUCCUGUAUUCAGUGGUCUAGCAUCGGAUGAUGCUCUGGGAUUUCUAGAUUAGUGCUACCGUAUUAUCCAUACCAUGGGUAUAUCAGGAUCGAGCGGGGUUUCCUUCAUUGCCUUCCAGCUUCGAGGAGUCGCCUAUGAGUGGUGGUGCACCUAUGAGUUAGACAGUACAGAUGAGGCUGCUUCACUAACUUGGACUCCGUUUUCAGAUCUGUUCCUAAGAGAGUAUGUUCCUUAGAGCCUCAGGGACGCAUGGCGCAUAGAGUUUGAGCAUUUGUGCCAGGGUGCUAUGAAUGUCUCAGAGUAUGUUGUCCGUUACACUAGUUUGGCUAGGCAUGCACCUGCCUUGGUUUCUAUUAUUCACGAGAGAGUUCGCUGGUUUAUUGAGGGCCUUAUUCCCAGCAUCAGGUCUAGCAUGACUCGUUAGUUGGAGAUAGAUAUUUCUUAUCAGUAGGUGGUGAUCAUUGCUAGGAGGAUUGAGGGUAUGCAUGUUAGGGAGAGAAAGGAGAGGGAGGCCAAGAGGUCUCGAGAGUCGGGCCUUUAUUCUGGUGCCCGUACCCCAGUUGCAGGUCGUCAUGGUAGGGGUUAUAUGAGUCGUCCUGUUCAUUCAACUCUUCCAGCAGCCACUAGUGCUCCAGCUCCUCCUAGGCCUCAGGAGCCUUAUUAUGCACCUCCGGUUUCUAGUGCGCCUCCUGCGCGGAGUGCUUUUAGAGGUCAGUUCAGCAGACCUGGUCCGAGCUAGUCACAACUGCCGCGUCCUCCCAGAGCUUCUUUUGAGUGUGGUGACACACGCCAUAUGGUUAGGUAUUGCCCUAGACUUAUUAGGAGUGCACCUCCAUAGACCUCUCAACCACAGCGUGCCCAGCAGAGUUCUCAGGCUAUGAUUAUAGCUCCAGUUGCUACCCCACCUGCUUAACCAGCUAGAGGUGGAGGUUGAGGAGGUAGAGGUCGCCCUAGAGGGGGAGGCCAGGCCAGAUACUAUGCCCUUCCUACUUGUACCGAGGUUGUUGCCUCCGAUUCUGUCAUCACAGGUAUUAUAUUGGUUUGUCACGGAGAUGCAUCAGUUCUAUUUGAUCCAGGCUCUACUUACUCUUAUGUGUCUUCUUAUUUUGCUCCGCAUUUGGGUGUACCUCGAGAUUCUUUGAGUUCCCUUGUUUAUGUUUCUACUCCUAUGGGAGAUUCUCUUGUUGUGGAUCGCAUCUAUCGGUCGUGUUUGGUUGCUCUUAGUGGUUUUGAGACCAGAGCCAAUUUAUUGUUACUCAACAUGGUUGACUUUGAUAUUAUCUUGGGCAUGUACUAGUUGUUUCCCUAUUAUGCUAUUCUUGAUUGUCACGCCAAAACCGUGACGCUGGCUAUGACAGGUGUACCGCGUGUUGAGUGGAGGGGUACUUUAGAUCACCCUCCCAGUAGAGUUAUUUCUUUUCUUAAAGCUCAGCAUAUGGUUGAGAAGGGGUGUUCCGCGUAUUUAGCUUAUGUGAGAGAUGUCAGUAUUGAUACUCCAUCGGUUGAUUCAGUUCCAGUAGUACGAGAUUUUCCCGAUGUGUUUUUAGCUGAUCUUCCAAGCAUGCCGCCUGAUAGAGAUUUUGAUUUUGGCAUUGAUCUGUUGCUGGGCACUCAACCCAUUUCUAUUCCUCCGUAUCGUAUGGCUCCUCUUGAGUUGAAGGAUCAAUUAUAGGAAUUGCUUGAUAAGGGUUUUAUUCGGUCCAAUGUAUCACCUUGGGGUGCUCUUGUCUUGUUUGUGAAGAAAAAGGAUGGUUCUAUGUGUAUGUGUAUUGAUUAUCGCCAGUUGAACAAAGUGACAGUUAAGAACCAUUAUCCUUUACCUUGUAUUGAUGAUCUGUUUGACCAGCUUCAGGGCACACAUGUGUUUUCUAAGAUUGAUUUGCGCUCAAGUUACCAUCAGUUGAAGAUUCGGAAGCCAUAUAUCCCGAAGACUGCUUUCAGGACUCGAUAUGGUCAUUAUGAGUUCUUUGUUAUGUCAUUUGGGCUGACCAAUGCCCCAACAACCUUUAUGCAUUUGAUGCACAGUGUGUUCCGGCCGUAUCUUAACUCAUUCGUCAUUAUCUUUAUUGAUGAUAUUCUGGUGUAUUCCCGGAGUCGGGAAGAUCAUGAGCAGCACCUGAGGAAUGUGCUUCAGGCUUUGAGAGAGAAGAAGUUAUAUGCUAAGUUCUCAAAUGUGAGUUUUGGUUGGAUUCAGUGGCAUUCUUAGUCCACGUGGUAUCGAGUAAGGGUAUUCAGGUGGAUCCGAAAAAGAUAGAGGUCGUGCAGAGUUGGCCUAGACCAUCCUCAGCUACAGAGAACAGUAGUUUCCUUGGCUUGGCGGGCUACUACUGUCAUUUUGUGGAGGGGUUUUCAUCGAUUCCAGCCCCUAUGACUAGGUUGACCCAUAAGGGUGCUUUGUUUCAGUGGAUAGAGAAGUGUGAGGCGAGCUUUCAGAAGCUCAAGACAGCUUUGACUACAGCCCCAAUUUUGAUAUUGCGUUUAGGUUCGGGGUCUUAUACGGUAUAUUGUGAUGCCUCGAGGAUUGGCCUCGGAGCGGUGUUGAUGCAGGAUGGUAGGGUUAUUGCCUACGCGUCCAGACAACUGAAGAUACAUGAGAAGAAUUACCCUGUUCACGACCUUGAGUUAGCUGCCAUUGUUCACGCCUUGAAGAUUUGGUGCCAUUAUUUAUACGGGGUUCUCUGUGAUAUUUAUACUGACCAUCGGAGCUUGCAACAUUUGUUCAAGCAAAAAGGUCUAAAUUUGCGCCUGAGGAGGUGGUUAGAGUUGCUGAAGGAUUAUGACAUUACUACUUUAUAUCACGCGGGCAAGGCCAAUGUGGUGGCUGAUGCUUUGAGUCGUCGGGCAGAGAGUUUGGGGAGUUUGGCUUCUUUACCAGCAUCGGAGAGGCCUGUGGAGAUGGAUGUUCAGGCCUUAGCCAGCCAGUUUCUGAGAUUGGGUCUUUCGGAGCCUAGUCGGGUUCUAGCUUGCGUGGUUUCUCGGUCUUCCUUAAUUGAUCAUAUCAGGGAGCGGCAGUAUGAUGACCCUCAUUUUCUUGUCCUCAAGGACAAGGUUCAGCACGGUGAUGCCAGAGAUGUGACUAUUGGUGAUGAUGGGGUAUUGAGGAUGCAGGGUCGGACUUGUGUACCCAAUGUUGAUGGGCUUCGAGAGUUGAUUCUAGAGGAGGCCCAUAGCUCGCGGUAUUCCAUUCAUCCAGGUACCGCGAAGAUGUAUCAGGAUUUGAAGCAGCACUAUUGGUGGAGGCAGAUGAAGAAAGAUAUAGUUGGAUUUGUAGCUCGGUGCCUUAACUAUCAGCUGGUGAAGUAUGAGCACCAGAGACCGGGUGGGUUGCUUCAGUAGAUAGAGAUUCUGGAGUAGAAAUGGGAGCGGAUCACCAUGGACUUUGUAGUUGGGCUCCCACGGACUUUGAGAAAGUUUGAUGCUAUUUGGGUGAUUGUGGAUUGGCUGACCAAGUCCGCUCAUUUCAUUCUUGUGUGUACUACUUAUUCUUCGGAGCGGUUAGCGGAGAUUUAUAUCCGGGAGAUUGUUCGUCUGCAUGGUAUUCCAGUGUCUAUCAUCUUAGAUAUGGGUACUCAGUUCACAUCACGAUUUUGGAGGGCCGUUCAGCAUGAGUUGGAUACUCGUGUGGAGUUGAGUACAACAUUUCACCCUCAGACGGACGGACAGUCUGAGCGCACUAUUCAGAUUCUUGAGGAUAUGCUCCGUGUGUGUGUGAUUUAGUUUGGAGGGUCUUGGGAUCAGUUCUUGUCAUUGGUGGAGUUUUCCUACAACAACAACUAUCAGUCCAUCAUUCAGAUAGCACCGUAUGAGGCUUUAUAUGGGAGACAGUGUAGAUCCCCGGUUGGUUGGUUUGAGCCGGGUGAGGCCAGAUUAUUAGGCACAAACUUGGUUUAGGAUGCUUUGGAGAAGGUCAAGGUGAUUCAGGAUAGACUCCGUAUAGCCCAGUCCAGAGAGAAGAGUUACGCGGAUCGGAAGGUUUGUGAUGUUUCCUAUAUAGUUGGAGAGCGGGUUAGGCUUCGGGUCUCGCCUAUGAAGGGCGUUAUGAUAUUCAGAAAGAAAAGAAAGUUGAGUCCGAGAUUUAUUGGCCCUUUUGAGAUAUUGAGACGUGUUGGGGAGGUUGCUUAUGAGCUUGCCUUACCUCCCAGCUUGGCCGGAGUUCAUCUGGUAUUCCAUAUUUUGAUGCUCCGAAGGUAUCACGGUGAUCCAUCGCAUGUGUUGGAUUUCAGUUCAGUCCAGUUGGACAAAGAUCUAUCUUAUGUUGAGGAGCUAGUGGCAAUAUUGGACAUGCAGGUUAGAAAGCUGAGGUCAAAGAAAAUUGCAUCCGUGAAAGUUCAGUGGCGGGGCCAGCCGGUCGAGGAGGCAACCUAGGAGACCAAGCAGGAUAGGCGCAGUCGUUACCCUCAUCUUUCCACUACUUCAAGUAUGUCUUUAUGCUCGUUCGAGGACGAACGAAUGUUUAAGUGUAGGAGGAUGUGACGAUCCGGCCGGUCGUCUUAAGAAUUAAUGCUCUGAUCCCCUAUUAACUGCUUUCCCCAAGUUUAUUUCUGCUAUUUUGAUUUGCCGGGAUGUUCGGUUUUGAGUUUCGGAGAGUUUUAGGGCACUUAGUCCCUAAAUGAGAGCUUAAGUGUUGGAAAGUUGAUCGUAGUCAGAACAGUGUGAAGACGGCCUCGGAAUGGAUAUCCAAUGAUUCUGUUAGCUCCGUUGGGUGAUUUCAGGGUUAGGAGCAUGUUCGGAUUGUAUUUUGGAGGUCUGUAGCUAAUUUAGGCUUGAAAUGCUGAAAAUUGAAUUUUUGAAGUUUCCGGUUCGAUAGUGAGAUGUUGAUCCGAGGGUCGGAAUGGAAUUCCAGAAGUUGGAGUAGCUCCGUAGUGUUUAAUGUGACGUGUGUGCAAAAUUUCAGGUCAUUCAGACGAGGUUUGAUAGACCUUUUGAUAGAAAGCGUAUUUUGAGAAUCUUGGAGUUCUUAGGCUUAAAUCCAUGGUUAAUUCGAGGUUUCGAUGUUGUUUUAGGUGUUUUAAGGAAUGGUACAAGUUUAGAUAGUGGUUUGUGACUUGUUGGUGCCUUUGGUUGAGGUCUAGGAGGUCCUGGAGGCCUCGGGAUGAUUUUGGAUGAUUGACGGAAAGAUUUUGGAAUUUAAAUUGCAGCUUCAGUUGCUGGUUCUGUCAUAACCGCACCUGCGGUUUGGGUUCCGCAGGUGCGGUACCGCAAAAGUGGCUCAGUAGCCGCAGAAACAGAAAAUAGGAACUUCCUCAGGAACCGCAGAAGUAGUGGUAAUUACGCAGAAGCGGUAUCGCAUCUGCGGAUUUGGGGUCACAGAUGCAGAAAUUGGCCAUUAAGUGAAAAGUCGCAGAUUCGACAUUAGUUCCGCAGAAGCCGGACCGCAGAAGAGGGACUGCAGAAGCGGUCCUAGGGCCCAUUUUUCAUCCUUUUCAAAACGGGAAGAAGCUUGGGGAGCACUUUCAAGAGGGAUUCUUAGAGGAGUUCAUUGGGGUAAGGUCUUUGGUCCCUAAACUCGUUAUUGGAGUGAUUUUUAUCAAUUUAAGCAUGAAAAAUUAAGGAAAAUCAGUGGUAAUUGAGGGUUUAGGGCUUGAUUAAUUGGAGACCUUUGAGUGAUGAUUUGAGGGACCAUUUAAGGUCCAACUUUGAUGAUUUUGGUAUGACUGAACUCGUGAGAGUGUGAGAAUUCUGGAAAUAUAAAUUUUACCCGAUUCCGAGACAUGGGCCCGAGGGGUGUUUUGGUCAUUUUACCUAAUUUCGCGUAUUAGCUUAGAAUUUAAUUGUAAAAUCAGUUACUUGAAGUGUUAUUUACAUUAUGAAAUUGAAUUGAAUAGAUUUGGGCCAUUUGGAGUCGAGUACUCGUGGCAAGAGUAUGAUUUCAGAUUGAUUUUGAGCCGGUUCGAGGUAAGUGGCUUGUCUAACCUUGUGUGGGGGACAUUCCCUUUAGGAUAUGAUAUAUUUAAUAACUGAAAUGCCUUGUACGCAAGGUGACGAGCGCGUACUUGAGCUAAUGGUUGAAAAUACCUUUUUUUCCUUAAGUACUUCAAUUGAGUUUUUUUUUU
RNAcentral lists this long non-coding RNA (28186 nucleotides) under Nicotiana tabacum (common tobacco). Its description in RNAcentral is "long non-coding RNA (NTAB_LNC018101)". Lineage: Eukaryota; Viridiplantae; Streptophyta; Magnoliopsida; Solanales; Solanaceae. The record is from RNAcentral.